UACGUAGGGUGCGAGCGUUAAUCGGAAUUACUGGGCGUAAAGCGUGCGCAGGCGGCGCGUUAAGACAGGUGUGAAAGCCCCGAGCUUAACCUGGGAAUUGCGCUUGAAACUAGGCUGCUUGAGUGUGGCAGAGGGGGGUGGAAUUCCACGUGCAGCAGUGAAAUGCGUAGAGAUGUGGAGGAACACCGAUGGCGAAGGCAGCCCCCUGGGUCAACACUGACGCUCAUGCACGAAAGCGUGGGGAGCAAACAGG
Molecule: ribosomal RNA, 253 nt
Filed under: uncultured bacterium
Lineage: Bacteria
Description: partial 16S ribosomal RNA
Rfam family: Bacterial small subunit ribosomal RNA
Source: RNAcentral